This 2672-nucleotide long non-coding RNA is filed under the name Arabidopsis thaliana (thale cress). RNAcentral's name for it is "long non-coding RNA (ATHA_LNC000031)". Lineage: Eukaryota; Viridiplantae; Streptophyta; Magnoliopsida; Brassicales; Brassicaceae. The record is from RNAcentral.
AGAGGAUUGAGUACUUUCUUCAUCAAGUCUCAGCAAGAUGAAUGCAGAGGAUUGAAUACUCUAAAUCUGUCCUAAGAUCUUUCCUCAAGAAGAUUUUAUAUAAUUUGACAAGCUUUUUCAAAGGCUGGUCUAAGCAGAAGAUUGAAUAUAUCAUGUUGCCCCAGUACAACACAAGAUAAUAUAUGCAGAAACUUGAAUUCUUCUUUUUUCUUAGCAGAGAAACUUGAAUCUCAGAGAUUAUUGGAUAUCAUUUCAAGUAUUUUAUAACGUCGUCCCAACGCAACUGUCGUUUAAGCAGAAACUUGAAUUUUUCAAUCUUAGGACACCAUUUUAUAGUCCCAUCAACAAGCAGAAACUUGAAAUUCAGAAAUCGGGACAUCGUUGAAUGUUGAAUCAUGUUGUCAUCCCAACAAGAUGAUCUAUAGCUUUUAUUGCAGACACUCGAACUCUUCAAUCUGUUAUUCAAGAAGCCUUAUUAAAAGGUUAUUCUCCUCCAUCAGUGCAGUCAAUUGAGUAUUAUAUUGCAGGACAUUUUCCCUUUAGCAAUAUGCAGAAUAUGAAAUUUUUGUCAUGAUGUUUAAGCAAACUUCUCAGUCAUACAUUAUUAGAGAAGCUUGAAUAGAGGAUAUUUUUUUACCUCAAGCAGAAUAUUGAUCUUCUCAUGAUGUCCUAGCAAUGCAUCUCUCUAAGCAGACAAAUGACCUGAAAUAUCUCAUAUCUCAACUCUAGUCUCAACACAUAAACAAGCCUCUUAUAAAAAGGGCAUUUGUUCUUCCUUUAAUUGGAUGUUUUUUUGCUGCCUCAGUCAAGCAACCAUAGAGAAGCCUUAUGAAAGGACAUUGUUCCUCCUUUAAUAUGCAGAUAUAUUUCAUGCUCCAAACAUCCAAUUAACAAGCCUUAUCUUAAAGGACAUUUACUCUGAUUCAUCAAGCAGAGUAUUGAAUAUUGUAUCAAUGCUGCCCCAGCUCAGCAAUAGUAUUUUACCUCAAGCAGAAUAUUGAUCGUCAACAUGAUUGUCCCAGUCCAUCACGAUAUGAGAUUUUGCAGACUAUUGAAUUUUCCUGUCGAGAAGCAAUCAUAAUAUGGAGCUUUUGCAGAAUAUUGAAUUUUUGUCAUGAUGUUUAAGCAGAUACUAGAACAUCAACAAGAGAAACUUGAAUAAAGAACAUUUUUCCUCAAGCAGAACAUUGACCAUCAUCAUGAUGUCCCAGCUCAUCAAAUUAUAGAGUUAUUGCAGACUAUUGAAUCUUCCUAUCGAGAAGCAUCGUUAAAAGAAUUCUUUAUCCCAUCAAUAUGCACAAUAUAGCAGAGCAGACACUUGAACUGCUCAGACAUCAUUAGAGAAGUCUUACUAGAUGUCAUUUUUACUCCACCAGAACAUUGAUCAUCAUCAUGGUUUCACAGCCCAUCAAGAUAUAGAGUAUUUUGCAGACUAUCAAGAAGCCUUAAUAAAAGCAUCAUUAAGCAGAAUGUUGAAUUAUCAUGUCCCCAGCCCGACAAGAUAGAAUUUUAGCAGAUAACUGAGAUUCUCAACCUCAGAAACAUCAUUAGACAAGCCUUGAAAGUACGUUUUUGUUCCUCCUUUAAUAUGCAGAUCAUUGAACAUUAUAUUGCUGUCCCAGCCCAGCAACAAAUUUUUAAGCAGAUAAUUGAAUAUUUUAUUCUCGAAGCACCCAAUUAACAAGCCUUAUCUUAAAGGACAUUUACUCUCAUUCAUCAAGCAGCAGAGUAUUGAAUCUUGUAUCAAUGCUGCCCCAGCUCAGCAAGAUAUAGAAUUUGGGAUAUAGUUUUGACAAGCUUCAUCAUGUCCCCAGCUCGACAAGAUAGAAUUUUAGCAGAUAACUGAGUUUCUCAACCCCAGAAACAUCACAAGACAAGCCUUAAAAAUAUCGUUUGUACCUUUAUCAAUGUGCAGAUCAUUGAAUAUUGUGUUGCUGUCCCAGUCCAGCAUAAGCAGACAAUUGAAUUGAAAGUUUCUAAUAUCACAGCAAGCAUAAACAAGCCUUAUGAAAAGGACCUUUUUAUUCCUCCUAUACAUUAAGCAGAUCAUUGAAUGAUCAAUUGCUGUCCCAGUCCAGCAAUACACAUCUUUAAGCAGAUAUAUGAACUAUAAGUUUGAAUCUCGAACUCCCACAAACAAGCCUUAUAAAAAGGACCUUUUUAUUUCUCCUAUAAUAAGCAGAUCAUUGAAUGAUCAAUUUGCUGUCCCAGCCCAGCAAGAUCUCUUAAAGCAGACAUAUGAACCAUAAGUUCGAAUCUCGCAACACCCAUUAAUAGCCUUAUAAAAAGGACAAUUGUUCAUCGCUUAAUAAGCAGAUCAUUGAAUAGUAUAUUGCUGUCCCAGCUCAGCAAAGCAGAUAAUUGAAUAUUGUAUCAAUGCUGUCCCAGCUCAGCAAGAUACAUACUUUUGACAAGCCCUUACUUGAGAGGACGUUUAUCUCUGUUUUCAAGCAUGAUCAUGCUUGUUUAGGCAACACCGGACCGAUAAAGGGACAAUUUUCCCAAGUAGAAACCGGACAUACAACAAUCAUAAGUGUUGUCAUCCCUUUCUUUUGGGUUUUAAGAAAACCAAAAACAAAACUUUGGAAACACCUAAGAUUCGAAUAAAACAGAUGAAACUUUUUUAAAAAAGCUAAGAUUUUUAACAAAAAAAAAAGUUUUGAAAAAGCUUC